This is a long non-coding RNA of Amphiprion ocellaris (clown anemonefish), 964 nucleotides long. RefSeq lists it as uncharacterized. NCBI's taxonomy places the organism in Eukaryota, Metazoa, Chordata, Actinopteri, Pomacentridae. The transcript has 3 exons. The record is from RefSeq and is a predicted model, not a curated record.
AACCAAUCUGCGGCUGCAGGUUUGCUACCUGCAGCAUAAAAAGGGACACACGCAGCACUGAGGAGGAACGGAGAAUGAAUGAGCUCCUCAAACUGUGCAGGACUGCUUCAUCUACAGAAAUCCGGGUAGCAGCAGCAGACCUCCUCUCCAGCUUUGCCUCUCCACAUUUCAAACCUUACCAACUCCAGAUGUGGCCUCUCAGGGAGGUUGGUGCUCCACUUCAAACCAAACCAUCAAACCUAAAGUUACAGAGUCCAGAUGUGCUAACAGCUGCUGUGGUUCAGAAAGGUUCACAUAUGAGUGAUUGAAAGACAGACUCCCUUUUGGCAGAGCAGCUCCACUGGUAGAACCAAACAGUUGGAUUCAAAAGACCCAGAGGAACCGCCCUCUGACGGUUCUGGUGUUCACAUAACAACCAGUGGCAGGCAAUGAAGUGUGAAAUUAUUCCUAUUCCAAUAGGUUAAAGUAUUUCUUCUAAACUCUGUACAGUUAAAUGAUCACUGGACAGAAAAUGUGAUGCCGCAGAUAAAACAACCAAAGAGACAAAGCAGAGACGGCUUCAUAGAAACCAUUCGUCUUACCUCCACUCUACGGGGAAGCGGCAAAAUCCAGAGGACACCGGAUGGAUGAGUGAAACAUAAAGAAGUGGGAGACACAGAAGAGAAAUACAGCCGUGAUGCUUCUCUCUGCAGCUCAUAGCUAAAAGACAGUGUGUGUGGUCAGGAUAAGACAUGUAGGUAUGUGCUUUAAGGUGGCUGUGGUCAUGCAUGUGUCUGGGUGGGACCAAAUGGGAAGACAACAAACAGCUGAAGACACACUGACAGCUAGAACAACACAAAGCAGUAGCAACAACAACACAACUAUACAAAGCUACUAGAACUAUUAACGUUUCUCUAAAUCUACAGUGAGUCUGGCUAUCUGAUGAGGAAAUCCAACAUGUUCACCUGCUACUGUGACUCUUGCC